UCCUCAAGCAUCUUCUCAAAACAUUUAGGGUGCGUUUGGUUCGCGCUAUCUUUUAAAGAUUUUUAGUAAUUCAAUAGAAAUAAAAAAAAUAUGACGGUGUUUGGCUAAACGCACUAAGUAAUCUAGUUGGUAAUAUUGGAUUCACUUGGGAAUAAGAUUCACCCCAAAAUACUAAUUUCAUUUGCUUGAGGGAGGGUGGGUAUCCUCAUAUUAAUGGAUUGGGAUAAUCAUAAUAUGUAUAAUCUCUUUCUUUCUUCCUACCCGCCGGCUAAUUAAUAUUAUUUUUCUUUACACUUUAACCUUAUAUCUCUUUCUAAACUUAUUUCUCUCUCUAAAAUUCAACUUUUUUUUUCUCUCUCUAAACUAAGCUUUCUCUCUCUCUCUCUUUCUAAAAUUUCAACUCUCUCCCUCUAAUUUCGACUAUAUUUUUCUUUCUAUUUUUUUAAUUAUGCUCUUUCUCUCUCUAACUUAUACUCUCUCUCCUUUUUUUCUAAAAAGAUGUUGAAAUUUUUGGUAACAUUAUCUAAAAUUAAAUAAAUAAAUUAAUUAAUUAAUUGUAUAUUUUUUGUAAUAUUAAAUAACAUAGCUAAUUAAUAUUACCGUGCGAACCAAACACAGAAAUUUUACAUUCUUAGUAAUAGGAUAAAUAGAAAUAAAAUUUUCGAAUAUCUUUUAUUUCUAGUAAUUUUUCAUAAUGCGAACCAAACGCACCCUUAGAAUAAAUUAAACUCGUGAGCUCGAGUUUGCGUAGCUCGCGAGUUAAGAGAAUCCGACGUUUCACUCUUCAGGACGAAGUCGCUCUUUCACGCUGUACUGGAUCGCUCCACCACUUUACUUAUCAGCAUAUGUCGCGAUCUUUUUCUCGAUCCUAAGCAUAUACUCUUUUGCUGUUUACAAAGUACUAGAUUCAUAUAUUGAAAUGAUGUCCUAUUUGCGUGCUCUAUGGCAUGUACUAGCCUUUUUUUUUGAGAGAUAGGUAGCACGCUAUCCGCUUCGUUUAUUUUAUUUAGAAAUAAACUUAGCUGGAAAUGUGAAUCAACUAGGAUUCGAACUUGGGUCUCAGAUACCAAUCACCAAGCUCUUUGCCAUUUGCUCUGGGGAUGAUCGGUG
Molecule: long non-coding RNA, 1110 nt
Filed under: Ananas comosus (pineapple)
Lineage: Eukaryota; Viridiplantae; Streptophyta; Magnoliopsida; Poales; Bromeliaceae
Description: long non-coding RNA (ACOM_LNC025483)
Source: RNAcentral